This 253-nucleotide ribosomal RNA is filed under the name uncultured bacterium. RNAcentral's name for it is "partial 16S ribosomal RNA". It matches the Rfam family "Bacterial small subunit ribosomal RNA", at positions 524 to 776 of the family's 1533-position model. The record is from RNAcentral.
UACGUAGGGUGCAAGCGUUGUCCGGAAUCAUUGGGCGUAAAGAGCUCGUAGGCGGUCUGUCGCGUCUGCUGUGAAAACCUGGGGCUUAACCCUGGGCUUGCAGUGGGUACGGGCAGACUAGAGUGCGGUAGGGGAGACUGGAAUUCCUGGUGUAGCGGUGAAAUGCGCAGAUAUCAGGAGGAACACCAACAGCGAAGGCAGCACUCUGGGCCGGUACUGACGCUGAGGAGCGAAAGCAUGGGGAGCGAACAGG